UAUGCAACCUUUCACGGCACUUGCAGACCACCAAGAUCUCUUGGUCGUUCCUUGAGCCCGAUUAAAAGUAAGUCCCUGACUAUUAUCAGAUCAUCAAGGAUUGCAUGGUCUUUGGUUGAGACCUGGAUUGCAGAGAGAUGUUAUCAAUGACUUGUGAAGUUUAUUACCAACAUCGUCAAGAUUACCCAUUAAAUUGAUAGUGGAGUUCAACAUGCAGACGGGCCGGCCAGUUUGCAUGUCCUUCACGCUUGAAGGUCGCGGAGAACAUUACACCCAUCCCCAUCAACGACAACCUACAGAAGGAAAGGCUAGUUUGCAUUUCCUUCACUUUCGAAGGUCAUGGAGAUCAUUACGUAAAACUGUCAAUGCGGUGGUGUAGAGGUUGGGUGAGGACGACACGUGUAACAUCAUUAUCAAGUAGGCGAGAGAAAAAUUGAUAAGGAUCAGUCGAACGAGUAUCUCCGACACGGUAACAACUUCAGCGCACUAUUGGUCACCAGCUGCAUUCUUCAUCGUAUCAUCAGUUCGCAAUCAUAAUAAACUAUGGCGUAGUUCUGCUGUUGGGUGUUGAAUCGCUGACGGUUGGGUCGACCACUUGUGUACCGAUGUCUCCUGGUCCUGUUUAUGGUGGAUAUCAAAGCACAACAUUACUGUCUUAAUACUCAUCAUCAACCAAUGCUGCUCCAGCUUACACCACCAAGGCUCCAAUAUAUUACACCAAUAAGGCUUCA
This 731-nucleotide unclassified non-coding RNA is filed under the name Daphnia pulicaria. Its description in RNAcentral is "uncharacterized LOC124315638, transcript variant X9". Lineage: Eukaryota; Metazoa; Arthropoda; Branchiopoda; Diplostraca; Daphniidae. The record is from RNAcentral.